CUGAUUUCCCUAGAGCCUGAUGGCCUCUAUUUAUCCACAGACCAAGUACAGCAUGCACAGCAGUAAUAUGAGCUUCCCCGCCCAUGCACUGCUAACUUGCCUCAACCCGGUCUUGGUAAGACCACCUCUAUAGGCAUGGAAAUAAAUCUAUUAUCUCGCCUAUUCAACCUAAAGCCUGC
Unclassified non-coding RNA from Chrysemys picta bellii (western painted turtle), 179 nucleotides. The record is from Ensembl. NCBI's taxonomy places the organism in Eukaryota, Metazoa, Chordata, Testudines, Emydidae.